ACUGCUAUCUGAGCUUCACACAGCUGAUGUCCUCUCUCACGACUCUCUGUCUCGACCUCUCUUCAUGGUUCUAUUGCCCAUAGGGCUCUUAAAGCCCUAAAACCCAAACCUAAUCGAAGAGCUACUCCUGAUCGGACUCCAAAAAUGUCUGGACCAUUCGAUCAACACCGCAAGUGACUCUGCCCGUCAGAUCAUGCUUGAUCAAGCA
This 208-nucleotide long non-coding RNA is filed under the name Elaeis guineensis (African oil palm). Its description in RNAcentral is "long non-coding RNA (EGUI_LNC053714)". Lineage: Eukaryota; Viridiplantae; Streptophyta; Magnoliopsida; Arecales; Arecaceae. The record is from RNAcentral.